GUGGAACACGCCCUCCCUUCGGGGCCGAAGCACAGGUGCUGCAUGGCUGUCGUCAGCUCGUGUCGUGAGAUGUUGGGUUAAGUCCCGCAACGAGCGCAACCCUCGUCCUUAGUUGCCAUCGGUUCGGCCGGGAACUCUAAGGAGACUGCCGGUGAUAAGCCGGAGGAAGGUGGAGAUGACGUCAAGUCCUCAUGGCCUUUAUGCCCUGGGCAACACACGUACUACAAUGGGCGUUACAAAGGGUCGCGAACCCGCGAGGGGGAGCUAAUCCCAAAAAGGCGCCCCCAGUUCUGAUUGGAGGCUGCAAUUCGCCCCCAUGAAGCUGGAAUCGCUAGUAAUCGCGGACCAGCACGCCGCGGUGAAUACGUUCCCGGGCCUUGUACACACCGCCCGUCAAGUCACGAAAGCCGACUGCACCCGAAGUCGUUUUGCUAACCCGCAAGGGAGGCGGACGCCCAAGGUAUGGUGGGUGAUUGGGACUAAGUCGUAACAAGGUAGCCGU
RNAcentral lists this ribosomal RNA (502 nucleotides) under uncultured delta proteobacterium. Its description in RNAcentral is "bacterial SSU rRNA". It matches the Rfam family "Bacterial small subunit ribosomal RNA", at positions 1000 to 1503 of the family's 1533-position model. The record is from RNAcentral. Lineage: Bacteria; Deltaproteobacteria.